This 392-nucleotide ribosomal RNA is filed under the name Stramenopiles sp. MAST-2C. RNAcentral's name for it is "partial small subunit ribosomal RNA". It matches the Rfam family "Eukaryotic small subunit ribosomal RNA", at positions 582 to 975 of the family's 1831-position model. The record is from RNAcentral.
AUUCCAGCUCCAAUGGCGUAUAUUAAAGUUGUUGCAGUUAAAAAGCUCGUAGUUGGAUUUCUGGCGGGAGCGACCGGUCGGCCCUUGUGGUGUGUACUAGCGUUGCGUCCGGCCAUAUUUGCGGAGAGCGUGUGUGGCAUUAAUUUGUCGUGCACGGGACCCGCAUCGUUUACUGUGAGAAAAUUAGAGUGUUCAAAGCAGGCUUAUGCCUUGGAUAUGUUAGCAUGGAAUAAUAAGAUAAGACUUUGGCGGUCUAUUUUGUUGGUUUGCGCGCCAUUGUAAUGAUUGAUAGGGACAGUUGGGGGUAUUCAUAUUUAAUUGUCAGAGGUGAAAUUCUUGGAUUUAUGAAAGAUGAACUACUGCGAAAGCAUUUACCAAGGAUGUUUUCAUCG